This 1651-nucleotide long non-coding RNA is filed under the name Olea europaea subsp. europaea. Lineage: Eukaryota; Viridiplantae; Streptophyta; Magnoliopsida; Lamiales; Oleaceae. The record is from RNAcentral.
GUCAAUUCAUGAGUGUAUAAAAGUUAAAAGAUAAAGAAGUAGGAUCAACAUAAGUAGUUCCAAAAUACAUACACAUAAAAUUACAUCUAAGACUCAGGAGGAGGUGGUUUUAGGAAAAUGCAUUUAAAUGGGCAUAAAAGGCAUUAUAUUGAGCUUGAAAUGCCAUGAUUGUAAUGAUUAUAGUUAAAAAUGAAAUCACCAGAAAGAGGAAGAGCACUAGAAAUCAGAAAGAUAUGAGGAAGACAUGAAACAUGUGGUACAUCGUCAUAAUCACCUCAAACCACAUCUUCAUCUUCUUCGAAAGGUAAAAGUCGUACUCCAGCUUGGUAGUUUCCACUACCUGUCCAAGGUUGAGCCCUGGGAUUUGACGGCGGACUUAAAAAGCCACCUACAGACGCUUUACGCCCAAUCAUUCCGGAUAACGCUUGCAUCCUCUGUCUUAUCACAGCUGCUGGCACAGAGUUAGCCUAUGCUUAUUCCCCAGAUACCGUCAUUGCUUCUUCUCCGGGAAAAGAAGUUCACGACCUGUGGGCCUUCUACCUCCACGCGGCAUUGCUCCGUCAGGCUUUCGCCCAUUGCGAAAAAUUCCCCACUGCUGCCUCCCGUAGGAGUCUGGGCUAGGACUUGAAUGAGGAUCAAAGCCCUCUGUGCCACCCUUUGACGUGCUCUUUGAUGAUUUUCAUAAGUUUGAGAGUUUGGAUAUUGAUGGUAUCGGUAGGAUGAAAUGAAAUGAAAAUAUCAUUAUCCAAAGGGAUAUUGAAGUGUUUAAAAAUUUUGCUAAGAAACAUGCCAUACGGUAAAACUUUGAUGUGUCUUGUAGGAUGAACAAGCUUCAUGGGACCAAAUGCAAAAGUCUAAUUUUCGCACAACUGAAAAUGAAUCAAGGAGGAAGAUAUCAAAAUUAUUGACUUCGUCCCGAUGUCCUUUUCGUGGAAAAAUAAUAUGAGCAAUGAUAUUUUGUAAAACUUUUACAAUGUAGAAGGAGUUGAUUUGCACUAAUCUUGGUGAUAGUUUCAAUGUGCUUUCUGGUAACUCUACGGCAAGCUUCGAUAGGGCUAUAACCUUCAAGAGUAGGAUGAGUUUCGUGUAGAAAAAAUUGAUUUUUACAUUCCUCAACCUCAAGAAUAGUUCAAAUAAGAUGGUUGGUGAUGGUAAUUCAUGUGUUUUUAAGUAAACACGAAAUCCCAUCCACCCUAUGGGAGAUAACCAUAUUUUUAUAAAACUCCUUCAUAAGUCGGGGAUAUGCAUUUUCUUCCAAAGUGGCUACUGACACCCAACACAUAUUUUUGAAAUAUUUUUCACUAUGAAAUGUGGGGGGCUUCAAUAGUAAAAUUGACAAAAUCAACAUCCUUACUGACGAGAAUGGGUGAUUUUUCAAAAUGAAUUUUCCAACACCUCAGAUUCUUUAUCCAAGAAGGAGGAAAAAUGAGACCGCCUUGCCCUGGUUUUCAUUCUUUUUCCAUUUCAUCAUUGACUUACCAUGAAAAAUAAUAGAUUUGAAGAAGUUGUAUACCAAUUUUCGGAGCUAGGGUAUAUAGAAACCCAAAUAUAUUUAGUUUUAAUUGUAAAAAGUUAGGGAUUUUGAAGAAAUUGGGAAGUAUGGGUUUUUGGAUUUGAGUAAGGAUAUCGAUAAUUUCAGGAAGAAAUGUGG